CAUGGAAAGCCCCCUGGAGAGCAAGAAGAAGGCUGGAACCUGGGCCAAGGCAGCCCAGGACUGAGAGCCAAGUAAGCAUGGGAAUUGUCCCAGCUAUAGUUUCUGGGAAAAUAAAUAGGCCUACCUGUUGACUUUUGACCUGCAGACUCCGUUCUUGCAAAAGGCAAACCAGACCAUACACUUUGGGGAUUCCCGCAAGAAGAUUCCUAAAACUGAAACUGGGGACUCUAGGAGGACACACAUCAUUAAGGAACUGGGCUUUCCUCUGAAGAGACUACCAAUUUGCAUUCCACCUACAAUGGAUGAGAAUCUCCAUCCUCCAAAGAUGAAAAAGAGGAUAUUAUCAUUCUUUUUAAUCUUUGCCAUCUGGAAGUUGCAUUCUGCUGAGCCCAGGAGUUAGAGAACAGACCACAGAGAUUUAAGUUCUCACUUGCGGGAAGUAGAUUUCAGUCCGCAUCCCAGCUCUGAAGCCCCAUUUCUCCUGGUGUAAAAUGAGAAGUGUCAGACAUCAUGCUCCAGAGACAGGAAAACCAACUAGUACAUGGAACUAAUUGAUGGAACUUUGAGCCACCAACCUGGACCAAUCCAACCUGGAUUUCUGGGGAGAAAAUCUGUGCAAUAUGUCUCAUCAGCCACACUUCCUCCCUGGAGCCAGAAAAUGCCCUGCUGAUGAUGCUCUGGAGAGCGAG
This 689-nucleotide long non-coding RNA is filed under the name Heterocephalus glaber (naked mole-rat). RNAcentral describes it as "lncRNA (ENSHGLG00100045061.1)". The record is from RNAcentral. Lineage: Eukaryota; Metazoa; Chordata; Mammalia; Rodentia; Bathyergidae.